CGUAACGCGUAUAGAAUCUGCCUUAUACAGGGGAAUAGCCCAGAGAAAUUUGGAUUAAUGCCCCAUAGUAUGUUUUUAUCGCAUGAUAGAUAUAUUAAAGUUCCGGCGGUUUGAGAUGGGCAUGCGUGCCAUUAGAUAGUUGGUGAGGUAACGGCUUACCAUGGCUACGAUGUUUAGGGGUACUGAGAGGAUUAUCCCCCACACUGGUACUGAGACACGGACCAGACUCCUACGGGAGGCAGCAGUGAGGAAUAUUGGGCAAUGGAGGCAACUCUGACCCAGCCAUGCCGCGUGCAGGAAGACGGCCCUAUGGGUUGUAAACUGCUUUUAUAUACCAAGAAACCCCAUCACGAGUGAUGGCUUGACGGUAGUAUAUGAAUAAGGACCGGCUAACUCCGUGCCAGCAGCCGCGGUAAUACGGAGGGUCCGAGCGUUAUCCGGAUUUAUUGGGUUUAAAGGGUGCGCAGGCGGUACAAUAAGUCAGUGGUGAAAUCACGAGGCUCAACCUCGGAACUGCCAUUGAUACUGUUGUACUCGAAUAUAGUUGAGGUAGGCGGAAUGUGUAAUGUAGCGGUGAAAUGCUUAGAUAUUACACACAACACCGAUUGCGAAGGCAGCUUACUAAACUAUUAUUGACGCUGAUGUACGAAAGCGUGGGGAGCGAACAGGAUUAGAUACCCUGGUAGUCCACGCCGUAAACGAUGAUCACUCGUUGUUUGUGAUACACAGUGCGUGACCGAGCGAAAGCAUUAAGCAUACCGCCUGGGGAGUACGUUCGCAAGAAUGAAACUCAAAGGAAUUGACGGGGGCCCGCACAAGCGGAGGAACAUGUGGUUUAAUUCGAUGAUACGCGAGGAACCUUACCUGGACUUAAAUGUAGAUUGACCGGUUUAGAAAUAGAUCUUUCCUUCGGGAAUUUACAAGGUGCUGCAUGGUUGUCGUCAGCUCGUGCCGUGAGGUGUCGGGUUAAGUCCCAUAACGAGCGCAACCCCUAUCGUUAGUUGCUAGCAGGUAAUGCUGAGGACUCUAGCGAGACUGCCACCGUAAGGUGAGAGGAAGGUGGGGAUGACGUCAAAUCAGCACGGCCCUUACGUCCAGGGCUACACACGUGUUACAAUGGCCGGUACAAAGGGCAGCUACAUGGCAACAUGAUGCUAAUCUCCAAAGCCGGUCUCAGUUCGGAUCGAAGUCUGCAACUCGACUUCGUGAAGCUGGAUUCGCUAGUAAUCGCAUAUCAGCCAUGAUGCGGUGAAUACGUUCCCGGGCCUUGUACACACCGCCCGUCAAACCAUGGAAGUUGAGGGUGCCUGAAGUCUGUUACCGUAAGGAGCGUCCUAGGGUAAAAUUGGUAACUAGGGCU
RNAcentral lists this ribosomal RNA (1360 nucleotides) under uncultured prokaryote. Its description in RNAcentral is "partial 16S ribosomal RNA". It matches the Rfam family "Bacterial small subunit ribosomal RNA", at positions 109 to 1482 of the family's 1533-position model. The record is from RNAcentral.